AGUGUUCUAGAAUGGUAAUGAUAGAAAGUACAGAAAAUUUCCUUACCCUUUGUCAAAAAUUGCAUUUAAAAACAAUAUGUUCGAUAGGUUCAUAAUUAAUUAUAAACUGUGCUUUUAUCUAAAAUUACUCUGCAACAGUAUGGAAAUACCUAAGAGGCCUAAGAAUAAGGAAGAGCUCCUAUUUGUGACCCAGCUUUUUUGAGCUCCUGUCAGCUCUUGUUUGCACAUAGAGCAUUAAUUGUUUUUUAUGGAAUUUCAGUAAUUUUGAGUGAACCUCGUUUGCUUACAAUGAAUAAACAGGAAUUAGUAGGGGAUCUGUAAAUGAUGUGAUCUUCUCUUUUUUUUUGUAUUUUUGUAUGUCUUUGUUUUGGUAGGACCGGCUUAAUGUAUUUUUCCCACUUCUCUUCAACUUCAGCGAUCCAGAUAUUCGUUGUAUGAGCAGGCAAUAGAAGUAUGUGUUCUUUUAGUAAUGAGCUGAAACUUUAAAAACAUGCCAAUAUACAGGAAGAUGAAAUACAGUAUUAGAUGUGUCUGAGCAGGCUGGUGUUUUAUUCAUGCACACAAUUAAGACAGCCAUAAAGAGUGGAAUUGUUGACAGAGUCUUGGAAAUGGAAAGGGACUUCUAUUGCCAGUGGUUCUCAGCCAUCUCUGAACGGGACCCAAAAGUGCAGUGAGGUUUGCUUUCAGCAAGCUGUCCGUUUGGUCUCUGUCGUGGCAGUUAGCCAGGGAGAAGAGGAUCUUAGUGUCUGAGUUUGAAUGCCGGUGGCAAAUGCUGUUCAGGUAUUUGGGCUUUUAGGAACUGGAGGUUUAUGUGAGAGGAAGACAGCAAAGGCCUUCAGCUCGUGUUCUGUGGAGAGUUUGUUCAGUCUGGAAGUAAAGGUGCUGGAUAGCAGAGUUCAAAUAGCUUCCCACCCUCCCCAUCAUUUUAUAAUACCAAUUUAGCAGUCUGAAGUUUUUCCAACCCUGCCACAUCCCCGUAUCAGCUAACAGCCAGUGACAGUGCUGAUCUUCUGGAUUCUGAUCUUUUGUUUGGUCUGGAUGAAUAACUAAAUCUUCUUGCUGAGAUCACUGAAAGGGGUUGAAAUGCAGGUGCUGGGCAUACCUGGUGAUGUGUUGCUUCAUUUCCAAAUGUGAUUCAAAUAGCGAUUUUUAAAGGAUUUUUUUCCAGUCUUCAUUCCUUUCCCUAAGCCUUGCUCUUCAGAUUUUUGUUGAUUUUCAUAUUCUUCCGUUGCCUCUGCUUCAUCUUCCCUGUUGUCUCUUCUUCUCUCUUUCAGACUUGAAGUUCUUAUUUUACAAAUGGCCAAUAGUUCCAUUCCUUCUUUGUGACUGUGCUAACAUCCCCCCACUCCUGCCUUCUCAAACUUUAUCCCUAACCGUAGGCAAGCUCUAUGUUGUUGUUUUUGUUCUGAUCACUACUUAGCUCCAUUGUUCUUCAUUCACUGUUUCUAGCUGCCACUUUGAUUUCUGGCUUUAGACAGAUGUUUUCACUGCCUCAAUCAUUCCCAUGACCUCGUCUUUACUAAAUACUGUCUGCUUUAUUAUCUCUCAUUUUUAAAUUCUCUUUCUCUGAUCAGUACCUGCUCUCUUUCAGCAUAUCUGUCUUUCUGUCUCCUUUACCCUGUCACUCACUCCUUUUGGGAUCUCCAGUCUAUUAACCUUUCUGACUCUUUUACUCUUCUCAGCUGCCUCCAUCCUUCACUGGCCUUGCCUCCUUUGACUCACUGGUCUUUAUUUUCAUCUCUGUCUGCUUCUCUGUAUGUGGUUUCUUUGGUUGCUUCUCGCAGUGCCCUGUCUCUAAUACCUUCCCUAGACAUCUUUUCAUGUUAUUUCUUAAUUUCCAUUCCUCGUUUUCUGAAUAUCACUGAAGAACGUCAGCACAACAGAGCUUUGGACUCAGCUCUGCCUUACCUGUUAUAAUUCUCCUUUAACCACUUGGGUCACGUCUUUUUUCUUGGUGAGUUUGCGUCCACGUUUGCUUUUCAUGUUAGGUUUUGUUUGUUUCUUUCUUCCCCAAAUUGUUCUGCUGCCUUAGAAUCAGUUUCUGAACCAGGCCUCUGCCUCUCACCUGUAGGACUUUGUCCCUUCAAUUUCUGCAGCUCUUGUUCACUUCUUUCUCUUUUCUUGAAUGACUUUCAUAAAUGACUCCUUCACUAGCAACCACAUUUCUCUUUUACUCCCAUCUUGAAGUGUGUGGCUCCCCUCUUCUUAACUACUUCUCUGUUUAGUACUUUUUCCUUUAUACUCCAUUUAGCAUCCCCUUAUUUUAUGUACCUGAAUGUCAUCUCUGUUUUUGUUUUCAUGUUUUUUGUUUUGCUCUGUAAUUCCAGUGUCCCAAAAAUCCAGUGCCCCCUUCCCCAGUUUGGUUCUCUCAUAGUUCAAUCUCUGGAUGAUUUCUUGGCUAUUUGGCCAGUUUUUAGCCUGUUGAUUCAAAGGGCUAAUUUUUAUUCCAAACUCCCUCCAAACGUUUUCCAACAUCCCUGAUGAUGUUAGUUGCCUCUCUAUUUUCCUGGGCCAUAACCUUUCUCUCUCUGAUAUGUCUGCUGGUCAUAUGUCUCUCAAGUCAGCAAUACCAGACUGUACCCCUCUUCGCUGUCUGUGUUCUUUUAUCUUUACCACUGUAACUUCUGUGUCAUUUUUUACUUCUGUUCCUCCCUUCAAAGUAUCAAAAUCAACAAGAGUAAACAAUGGUCCUUGGCCUUUAGCUGUUUUAUGUGCUGAAGAAGGAAUCCAUGACAUUACUGACAGUUUUAUGUUUUUAAGGCAGUUCAGUUUUGCAAAUUUCAUCCUGUUUUACGACUCCAGAGCUGGAUUAGAUCCCAUUUCUCCAGGCACCUCAAAGGUUCUUGAAUUUGGUCCAUGAUUUUAUUUUCUACCACUUCAGUUGCAGGUUUUGUCUUUCAUUUCUUAACCUUAUGUAACACAUUCUUGUUCUAUUUCUGCACGUACAGCUAACAGUUAUUUUCUUGUGUUAUAGCAGCCUGAUUGCAGUGCAUUUAUCUUUUUUUAAAGUAAGAAUGUACUUCACAGCUUCACUGGCUGGGUCCGGAGUGUAUGGCAUGGUGCUCCUCUUCGAUACUGUCCCUCCCUUACUCUGGUUUGUCUUAGCUGCUGUUCUCUGUGUUGUGCCCAACUGCAGUUACACCGUGUUACACUUCAGGUUAGCGUACAUAACAUUGAGCCAACUGCAAGUAAGGUAGCUUCUGUACUUGCAGCAGUACUGCAAGUUCUUACCAGAAGCCCCACUACUUUUUGUCCUCUACGGCUGGAACAGAGCCUCUGUGCUGCACUAAUUCUGUAUCCACGUGACCCUAAUUUGGUGUCAAAUCAGAUGUGCCAGCAGUGCACUGCGUUGCUUUCUGUGCACGUAUACUGUUAGCCUUCCCAGCUGUAACAGGCUUACAGAUGUGGAAGGCUGUGUUUGCGGCGAUUCACUGAUGAUCACAUUGUCUGACCUUUCGAUUACUCCUGAUUAUUUUAUCCUUAUGCAUCUGUUCAGUUUGAGUAGCAAACAAUGUUAUUAAUUAUCCACAAAACUAAGAAGUUUUAGUGGCGGUGUUUUUUGUUAUUUCUUUGACUAUAGGGUACAGAAUUGGCUACCAGAAUUAUUACGUAUGUGUAUAUAUACACAUGCGUGUACACAAGAACUGCUCUGAAAGUAAUGCCUUCUAUUUUAUUAUGGUGGCCGACAGUGUCAGAGGUGGAUGUUGGUGGUGUGGCAGGAGAGGCUGAAACUUCCCAACAAUUUUCUGUGAUAUUUUGUUGCUGUGUGACAGAUGGCAGCAGUGAGGCAGAGUGGCGUCUGACAUGGAAGUGUGUGUGAAUCAAAGACGUGUCACUGAAUUCCUCCAUGUGGAAAAUACGGCCCCUGUUGACAUGUAUGGAUGCUUGCUGAAAAUUUAUGGAGACCAAACAGUGGAUAUGAGCGCAGUGAAAGUUGAACUGCACGGGCAGCAUUUUCCUAGCAGUGAUGCCAUCGUAGUAGCUCUAAAACAGUGGGUUACCUCAGCUGGUACAAGUUGUUAUGAGCACAGCAUGUGGCCUCUUGUUCAUUGCUGGUGAGAAUGCACAGCUAAUGGUGGUAACUGUUGAAAAACCAGUAUCUUGCAGCUGGGAAUUUAUCAAAUAGUGUUAUCGUUCUCUUUGUGUCUCUUAUUUCCAUGGAAGUAAAUAGAAGGCAUUACUUCUGGAGCAACCUAUGUAGUAUCUACUUAUUUGCACUGUAGUAAUUCUUCACUUAGAGAGGAUCAGUUCCUGGGUGGCAAAAAGCAAAUUCUUUUCUAAUGUGUUGAGUUUUUGUUUCUUUUUUUUUGUUGCCAGUUUGUGUAAUGUCAUACCAGUGGUGAAUUUGUUCUUUUGCAACUGUUUUAAUGAUGUGUGGAGGCCUUACAACUUUUUUUGUAAUAGAACUCUUCUGUUUGUGUGAAAAUAAAACAUAAGCAAUUAUGUACAUCGAGUUCUUCCUUAUAGUUUCACUGUUGGUACUUGAAGUCCAAGCAAGAGACCAGCCUCAAACUGGGCAGAAAUGGUCCUCAAAACAGUAGAGAUGAGCUGGGGUUCCCUGCUUCCUCUCCACCUCUGGCUCUUGGUUCUCUGCCUUAUCUAAGCACUUGCUGUGGGCACUACAAUGUCACCAUGUUAUGGGCUAAUGGAAACUUGGAAACUAAGUAGAAUGUUAAUACUAGUGUGCUCGUUCCUGUGGUGUCCCUUCUCAGAAUGACUACGAAAUCUUUCAUUUAAAAACGAUUAAGAAGCUCUUUGCUAUCAUUUAUUUCUCAAUAUGCAUUUGAUAUUAAAAAUGUGUGGUUACUGUUAGAAAUAUUGUAUCAUGGAAAAGCUCAUAGUAUGCCUUUAAAUGUAAUGAUGUUGGCACUUUUAUGUACAUUUGGUUGCUGGAUGAUUUUUCGGUUUCAGUCAUUGUGGACCAGUGUAAAGAUGAUAUUUGGAAAAUGAGUAUAAGAGUAAGUAAGUAUAAGCAUAUUCCAGUAUAAGAUUUUUCUGGCAGAAAUGAAAGUUUCAUUGAUUUGUUUGAAUUUGGUAGGUGAUUGUUUGAAUCUUAAAUUGUACAAGCAUUUGUAUUGGAAGAGACCUUGGGGGCGCCUCUUGUCCAGCCUCCUGCUAAGAGCAGGAUCAGUGCUGAGUUCGGAACAGGGCUCUGGGCUUCAGCCAUUAGGAUCUUGAAAACCUCCCAGCCAGUUGGACCUUGUAAAUCUCCAGGGAUGGAGAUUGCAUAGCUUCUCUGAGCUGCCUGCCAAGCCCUUAGCUAGCCUUGCCAUAAGUGUCGUUUGCCUCAGUUUCACUCACACAUCUCAGUUUCAGAUUUGGCUGUUGUUUGUUCUCAUACUAUUCUUCAAAUGUUCUUUGUACUAUAAAACAGUUAAGUCAAAUACUGAAACAAAUUAUCAGAUUUCAUUUUCUCAGAUGGUUCUUGCUAACAGAUGCGUAUGUAGUAAAUACGUAUCCUGUAUGAUAUGUACACUAUAUUCAUUUUACUAGAGUGUAAAUGAAAACUUUAGGCAGUAAAAAUUUGUAUGUUCUAUGACAUUUACUAAUUAGAUGCCAUUAAUACUUAAUUUCUGAACC
This 5580-nucleotide long non-coding RNA is filed under the name Gallus gallus (chicken). The record is from RNAcentral. Lineage: Eukaryota; Metazoa; Chordata; Aves; Galliformes; Phasianidae.